UACUAGAGUAGCACUCGCAUAUCAAUAAGCGGAGGAAAAGAAACUAACAAGGAUUCCCCUAGUAACGGCGAGUGAAGCGGGAAGAGCUCAAAUUUGAAAUCUUAAAGGGUUUCCCUUUACGAAUUGUAGUUUAAAGAAGUGUUUUCUGUUGAGGUUUUGGUAAAAGUUCUUUGGAAUAGGACAUCAUAGAGGGUGAGAAUCCCGUAUUUGACCUUUACUUUCAACUUUGUGAUACACUUUCAAAGAGUCGGAUUGUUUGGGAAUGCAGUCCAAAAUGGGUGGUAAAUUUCAUCUAAAGCUAAAUAUUGGCGAGAGACCGAUAGCGAACAAGUACCGUGAGGGAAAGAUGAAAAGAACUUUGAAAAGAGAGUUAAACAGUACGUGAAAUUGUCAAAAGGGAAGCGUUUGACACCAGUGUUGUUUUUUCUGAAAAUCAAUUAAAGAACUGUUUAUGCUAAGCUGUUUAGACUUUAUCAGCUAUCUGUUUAGUUUUUAGGCUUUUCUUUAAUGCACUUUUCAGUUAACAAGUCAACAUCAAUUUCUUUUGCUGUAAAAAAAGCUUGAGGAAGGUGGCUUGAGAUUCGUCUUAAGUGUUUAUAGCCUCUUGCCUAUGCAGUCGGAGAGAUUGAGGUCUGCAGCGUAGAUCCUUCGGGGCUAAAUGCAUUUGUGCUAAGUUAUAGCAUUUUAUAGACAACUUGUUGACUAUGAUUUGUCUUGUAGCUUACUCGCUUAUGUUAUUUUACCUACGCUUAGGAUGUUGAGCGCAUGUCUCUCUCU
This 777-nucleotide ribosomal RNA is filed under the name uncultured Neocallimastigales. RNAcentral describes it as "partial large subunit ribosomal RNA". It matches the Rfam family "Eukaryotic large subunit ribosomal RNA", at positions 20 to 642 of the family's 3401-position model. Lineage: Eukaryota; Fungi; Neocallimastigomycota; Neocallimastigomycetes; Neocallimastigales. The record is from RNAcentral.